Molecule: long non-coding RNA, 3639 nt
Filed under: Salvia miltiorrhiza (redroot sage)
Lineage: Eukaryota; Viridiplantae; Streptophyta; Magnoliopsida; Lamiales; Lamiaceae
Description: long non-coding RNA (SMIL_LNC002216)
Source: RNAcentral
CCGAAAGAUGGUGUUAUUUGAUAAGAGAUUACAUCAUAAGAAACUCAAAAUCCAAACCAUUUUGACAAAUACAUAACCACUGCAGAUAGAGAGAAUAGAAAGAGAGAGAGAAGAAAAAAAUAGAGCGAGGCUCGUGUGCCAGCGGUGGUACCACAUUAUCCGUUCUCAUGUCAUCGUCAACGCGCAGAUGCAUUGAAUCCUCCUAUCUGUCACAGCCCGCUACCCUUAAUGACGGUUUAGCCGGGAUUAUGACUUGGGAUGAGAAUUAAUGAGUGGGAACGGAAAUGGACAAUUACUUAACAUUAAAGUAUAUGGAAAUAUCACUCAUAGAUAAAAUGCUAGGAUCAUAUAUGAUCAUUUGGAUACUUAUAAAACAUACACAUAAAGGAGAACUGAUUAAGGUGGGUUACCCAAUAUCACGUGUCACAACUUCAUAACAUAGAGUUAUCCUAAUCAAAGUGUUUUGCAGCGGAAAACGUGUGAGAUAUACAUAUGAAGAUGUAUACUCAAGGUUACAUUUCUUGAAAUGAUCAAAGGAACACCCGCUCAACACCAUUCCAUUCCAUCAGCUGCUCAACCUGCACAUAUAGAAAUACAUGCAGGGCUGAGUAUAAAAAUACUCAGUGGGCAUAUGCCGAAAAUACAAUCAUGCAUAACAUAUAUAAAUUGAACUGCCAUAACAGUAACACACAGGGGUUUUCUUGAAAGACAUGCGCUUACUAAAACAUUUCUUUCAUUUUCAUAAGAUUGGCCAGCCGACCCAUUUUCCUUCAUAUGAUCCAUAUCUGUUCCUUUCUGUCACGCGCUGGAAAUGAGGCCUCCUUACCACGGACGCCAAGACCGGUCGCAAGCGACUCGCGGUCUCCAUGAGUGUGCACGUUAACCCUAGCUAGCAACCUUUGUCUAGCAUAGGAUCCCAAUUGGAUUUCCUUUAAAGUUGGCGAACCAACACAGAUAGGAUACAUACGUAAAACAUAAACAUUUUUGGCAGACAAUCAUUUCAUUUCAUAAACAUUUUCAUUUUCAUAAACAUUUCAUUUUCAUUUCACAAGAGUCAUUUAUCAUUUGGGCAUAAUAAUAAACUGAAAUUAACAGUUAAAAUCAUCUCAUGCAUAUAUUCGUAUAAGAGGCCUACGACACGCAGGGGAUCUCUAUAUACGUAUAGUAAAAGUAAUGCCCACCUCAAACGUUCUUAAGCUAGCGUGGAGUCGCUUAUUCUUCGGCUUCACUUCCUGUCGCCCGGACCUUUAUUGAUGAGAGUCGGUAAGUUCGUGAAGAAAAAUUGUCACAAGACAAAGUCUAAUUCUACGUGCUUAGGGUAUCUUUUAGUGUUUUAGGGUUCUAGCAUCCAUAAUUCGUUCCAUUAAAGACAGUCAAAAACCAACAUACCUCGUCUAAUCUCAUUCAAACACAUAGGCAACACAAACACAUAAGGCACAUAAGAAUCACAAUCAAACAUCAUCAAAACAUGCUCUGUUUUUACACAGACUCAACUUCAAAAAUUAAUCUGUUCUGACUCCGAUAUCUCCUGGACUCGAGACUCAUACUGAAAGAAAUAUCUUCGAGUCUAGUUUCAUAUAAAAAAAAGUAGAGUCAAAAACUCCAAGUGGUUUGAGAGAUAUGACGUUUUUACCACGACCUACCAUGUUCGGCAGUUUUGAGCAAUCGAAAGCUUGGAUUUUUGAAAAAUAGUAAACGUUGUCAAACUGGGCUCAACUUUGGUGGAUAUCUAGAUAACACAACAAGGUUAAUACCAUAAAAAUUUGGAAAGAUAGAUCACACAGGAAGCUACUGAAAUGAAUGACUCUUUCCCCUGUUCUCUUAAAUUCUCGGUAGUAAUGUGCAGUUUAGGUUUUGAAUUUUAAAGAAAUAUCAAACGAAGUUGGAAUGGCGUGAAAUUUUACCGGUGUGCUAAAGACUCUCAAAUAUACUUACCAUAAAAUUGUCAUGGUGUUUGGGUAACAAAAACCCCUCGAAAAUAGUAGGUCAGUGUAUCACGAAAAAUGACUCCGAACUCAAUCACACAAGCAAACAUGCUCAACUCAACAUUCCUUCAAAGAAAACUCAUCAAAGCUCAUUUUAAACACUUAUAGCACUCAAAAACAUUUAAGUACAACAUAAUACUCAUCAUACUCAAUUUCGACUCUUCUCUUACAUCUUAAACUCAAUUCUCAUGGAAAACGUUUCAACGAACGCAUCAAUUAAAUUCUCUUUUCAUUUUCAUGCUCAAAAUUACUCAAAUACUCAAACAUGGUCUCAUACAUCAUAUAACUCAUUAUACACAUAUAGAUUCUUUUUUAACAUGCAAACUAAACUCUAACAAAAACUCACGUAUCGACGCAAACUCUUAACAAAAGCAUGACAGACGUUCACAUAAUGAUUAUAAAGUAAUUAGACCUCAUUAUACCAAUCAUCGACCUCUCAAUAUAUGAGAACUCAAAAACUCAUAUAAACUAAACUAAGUCAAAAUUUUACUUAGCCAACAAAAGACUUAAUCAAACAUAAAUAGACACUAAUUUCAUGCUCAAUUACAUAUAUCUUAAGCCAAAUCACUUAAUAGACACAUAGACAAGAAAGUCCUAAUUUUUAUUAAACUAAACUCUUUUGAAAAUAUCACUAAUCAUGUAUAACCUAUUGAUCAAAUCAUAGAUCUAACAUCCUAGGUUACCAAUUAGCACAAAACAACAUCAUAAAACAAGAUCACAUAUAGAUACACAUAUAUGUCAUUUUCUUCCUCAAACUAACACUUUUCAUUUCAUUCAAAAUUCUCAAUUUAAUCAUGCCAUAGUCCUUUAUAAAGUCCAAUUAGCAUAUAGACAUCAUUAAUCCAAACAUUGAUCUCAUAUUCAAAAAUACCCAAAUCCUAGUAAACUAAACUCAAGCAAUUUCACAUAUAAACCAUCAAUUUACAAUUUAGGGCAUAGAUACACAUAUCCCUAAUUUUAUUAAACUAACUCAUAUCAAAAUCAUCAAUUGACAUCAUAUACUCAAUUUACUCCAUCAAUCAUCAUCAUAUACAUCUCAUGGACUCAUCUUCAUCAUCUAUUCAUCAUUUUAAUCAUCAACUCAAAAGUUCUCAAUUUUAGGUAAACUAAACUCCAUCGAACUUUCACAUCUCAAGGCAUAUAUUUCACAACACACAUCAAUCAUCACCAAACAUCACAUAGAUCUCAUUUUUCACCCCAAAUCAAGGAAAGAAAAAGAAAAAUUUUGGAAGGAUUGAAGACCCAAAUUUUCGAAAAUUUUAGAAAAAGGAAGGGGGUGAUUUUCUUGCUUCAAUCUUUCAAGAAUACUCACAUACAACAUCAUUCAAGCUAUAUCUAUGGAUUACAUGAUCACUUACCCAAAUUUACACCAAGUAUCAAACUUUCUCUCUCUAGCUUUGAAGCCAAUCUUCAAGGAUCUCCUUGGAAUCAAGUUGAUAGGAGGUGUUUAGGUAAGAUUUUGAUGGUGAUUUAUGUGUUUGGCAUAAUUUUGUGGAGCUUCGGAGGUCUCAUCUAUGGUUGACAAUGGUGGAAAGUGAGUGAUGAGGGAGAGAUGAGGGGGCCGAUUGGUGAGGGAGUGAGGAGUGAGAGAGGAUUUUGCUAGAUAUUAAAAGAUUUGGAAAAUCUUAGAGGAUAUUAGUGAAUCUUAUCAAAU